GAUGAACGCUAGCUACAGGCUUAACACAUGCAAGUCGCGGGGCAGCAUGGGGGUUGCUUGCAAUCCCCGAUGGCGACCGGCGCACGGGUGAGUAACGCGUAUCCAACCUGCCCUUCACCACGGGAUAACCCGGCGAAAGUCGGACUAAUACCGUAUGUUUUCCAUUGACGGCAUCCGAUUUGGACGAAAGGUUUGGCGGUGAAGGCUGGGGAUGCGUCCGAUUAGCUGGAGGGCGUGGUGACGGCCCACCCUGGCGACGAUCGGUAGGGGUUCUGAGAGGAAGGUCCCCCACACUGGAACUGAGACACGGUCCAGACUCCUACGAGAGGCAGCAGUGAGGAAUAUUGGUCAAUGGGCGUAAGCCUGAACCAGCCAAGUAGCGUGCAGGAUGACGGCGCUAUGGGUUGUAAACUGCUUUUAUGCGGGGAUAAAGUGGCCCACGUGUGGGUUUUUGCAGGUACCGCAUGAAUAAGGACCGGCUAAUUCCGUG
RNAcentral lists this ribosomal RNA (490 nucleotides) under uncultured bacterium. Its description in RNAcentral is "partial 16S ribosomal RNA". It matches the Rfam family "Bacterial small subunit ribosomal RNA", at positions 28 to 507 of the family's 1533-position model. The record is from RNAcentral.